GUGCCAGCAGCCGCGGUAAUACGUAGGGGGCGAGCGUUAUCCGGAGUUACUGGGCGUAAAGCGCACGCAGGCGGUUCGAUUAGUCUGCCGUGACAGUCGUCGGCUUAACUGACGAAGUACGGUGGAAACUGUCGAACUUGAGGGCUUCAGAGGGACACGGAAUUCCGGGUGGAGUGGUGAAAUGCGUAGAUAUCCGGAGGAACACCGAUGGCGAAGGCAGUGUCCUGGGAAGUACCUGACGCUCAGGUGCGAAAGCUAGGGGAGCGAACAGGAUUAGAUACCCUGGUAGUCC
This 292-nucleotide ribosomal RNA is filed under the name uncultured bacterium. RNAcentral describes it as "partial 16S ribosomal RNA". It matches the Rfam family "Bacterial small subunit ribosomal RNA", at positions 505 to 796 of the family's 1533-position model. The record is from RNAcentral.